UGAUCCGGGGAUUUCUGAAUGGGGAAACCCGGCUGGAGUCAUGUCCAGUCACCGUGCACUGAAUAAAUAGGUGUACAGGAGCUAACGCGGGGAAGUGAAACAUCUCAGUACCCGCAGGAAAGGAAAUCAAACGAGACACCCUCAGUAGCGGCGAGCGAACGGGGUAUAGCCCAAACCGUGCGGAUACGUCCGCGCGGGGUUGUAGGGCCGGCGUAAUGGAUCUGUUAUUAGGCAGGAGAACACGGCUGGAAAGCCGGGCCAAAGCGGGUGACAGCCCCGUAUCUGAAACCGAAAUCAGCCAGGCCGGUACCUGAGUACCGCGAGGCACGUGAAACCUCGUGGGAAUCCGGGAGGACCAUCUUCCAAGGCUAAGUACUAUCCAGCGACCGAUAGCGAACCAGUACCGUAAGGGAAAGGUGAAAAGAACCCUUGUUAAGGGAGUGAAAAGAACCUGAAACCUGUUGCCUACAAGCUGUGGGAGCAGGCGCUUGCGCUUGUGACCGCGUGCCUUUUGCAUAAUGAGUCAGCGAGUUAAUCUGUACAGCGAGGUUAAGCGAAAGUGUAGCCGUAGCGAAAGCGAGUCUGAAUAGGGCGAUAUAGUUGUGCGGAUUAGACCCGAAACCGAGUGAUCUAUCCAUGUCCAGGUUGAAAGAAGGGUAAAACCUUGUGGAGGACCGAACCCGUUAGGGCUGAAAACCUUUGGGAUGAGGUGUGGAUAGGGGUGAAAGGCCAAUCAAACUCGGUGAUAGCUGGUUCUCUCCGAAAUAUAUUGAGGUAUAGCCUCGGGGAUUGUCUAAUGGAGGUAAAGCACUGACAGAGCUAGGGGGCCCACCAGCUUACCAAACUCUAUCAAACUCUGAAUGCCAUCAAGAUUUACCCCGGGAGUCAGACUGCGGGUGCGAAGAUUCGUAGUCGAAAGGGAAACAGCCCAGACCGACAGCUAAGGUCUCUAAAUCCAUGCUCAGUGGUUAAGGUAGUGGAGUCGUACAGACAGCCAGGAAGUUGGCUUAGAAGCAGCCAUCUUUUAAAGAAAGCGUAAUAGCUCACUGGUCUAAUAACUCCGCGCCGAAAAUGUAACGGGGCUAAGCAUGGUACCGAAGCUUCGGAAUGAUCGUUUUUUUUAAGUUCCCUCGUUGUGAUGUUGGUUGCAACGCACGGUCAACGGCGCAAGUGCAAAGCUCUAUGCAGCGGAAGCCUUGCAAGUCCGUCACAAGAGAAGUGACAGGACGUUGGCGGGCUGUUUGCGGCUGCAAACAGCAUGACAACGGGGAACUUAAAAAGGAAGAUUAUUGGUAGGAGAGCGUUCUUUACGGGCAGAAGCUGGGGCGUAAGCCAUCCGGUGGACUGUAAAGAAGUGAUUAUGCUGACAUAAGUAACGAUAAAACAGGUGAAAAACCUGUUCGCCGUAAACCCAAGGUUUCCUGGGUAAAGUUAAUCUUCCCAGGGUUAGUCGGCCCCUAAGGCGAGGCUGAAAAGCGUAGCUGAUGGGAAACGGGUUAAUAUUCCCGUACUUGUAUGAAUGUGCGAUGGAGGGACGCAGAAGGAUAGAUCAUCCGGCUGUUGGACGCCGGUGCAAGUGUGUAGGCUUGAGGGGCAGGCAAAUCCGCCCUUCUUCAAGGCCGAGACACGAGUCCGUGACCUUUUGGUCUGAAGUGAUUAAUUCCAUGCUGCCUAGAAAAGCUUCUAAGUUUAGUUCAUGCAAACCGUACCGCAAACCAACUCAGGUGGGUGGGUGUAAAUGCACCAAGGCGCUCGAGAGAACUCUGGUUAAGGAACUCGGCAAAAUGACCCCGUAACUUCGGGAGAAGGGGUGCUCCUUAUGGUGAUACUUUAACUUGUAGAGCUGUGAGGAGCCGCAGAGAAAUGGCGGUGGCGACUGUUUACUAAAAACAUAGGGCUAUGCUAAGUCGCAAGACGCAGUAUAUGGCCUGACGCCUGCCCGGUGCCGGAAGGUUAAGAGGAGGGGUUAGCGCAAGCGAAGCUCUGAAUUGAAGCCCCGGUAAACGGCGGCCGUAACUAUAACGGUCCUAAGGUAGCGAAAUUCCUUGUCGGGUAAGUUCCGACCUGCACGAAUGGCGUAACGAUCUCCGCGCUGUCUCAACCAGAGACUCGGUGAAAUUGAAUUGGCGGUGAAAAUGCCGUCUCCCCGCAGUGUGACGGAAAGACCCUGUGCACCUUUACUAUAGCUUGACAUUGGGUUUUGAACUGGCAUGUGUAGGAUAGGUGGGAGGCUAUGAAGCGUGUACGCCAGUACGUGUGGAGCCAGCCUUGAAAUACCACCCUUGUCAGUUUAAGACUCUAAUCCAGCGCCGUAAUCCGGCCUGGAGACAUUGUCUGGUGGGUAGUUUGACUGGGGCGGUCGCCUCCCAAAUUGUAACGGAGGCAUACAAAGGUUCCCUCAGCCUGAUUGGAAACCAGGCGCCGAGUGCAAACGCAUAAGGGAGCUUGACUGCAAGAGUGACAGCUCGAGCAGGUACGAAAGUAGGUGUUAGUGAUCCGGUGGUCCCGAAUGGAAGGGCCAUCGCUCAUUGGAUAAAAGGUACGCCGGGGAUAACAGGCUGAUCGCAUCCAAGAGUCCAUAUCGACGAUGCGGUUUGGCACCUCGAUGUCGACUCAUCACAUCCUGGGGCUGAAGCAGGUCCCAAGGGUACGGCUGUUCGCCGUUUAAAGUGGUACGUGAGUUGGGUUUAAAACGUCGUGAGACAGUUUGGUCCCUAUCUACUGUGGGCGCAGGAGAUUUGCGAGGGUCUGUUCCUAGUACGAGAGGACCGGGAUGGACGAACCCCUGGUGUCCCUGUUGUUUCGCCAGAAGCAUCGCAGGGUAGCUAAGUUCGGAAUGGAUAACCGCUGAAAGCAUCUAAGCGGGAAGCCAGCCUCAAGAUAAGAUCUCCCCGAAGACCCCUGGAAGACCACCAGGUUGAUAGGCCGGAGGUGUAAGCGUGGCGACACGUUCAGCUUACCGGUACUAAUAGGUCGUUCGGCUUAUUUUU
This 2990-nucleotide ribosomal RNA is filed under the name Desulfovibrio sp. OttesenSCG-928-C14. Its description in RNAcentral is "partial 23S ribosomal RNA". It matches the Rfam family "Bacterial large subunit ribosomal RNA". Lineage: Bacteria; Pseudomonadati; Thermodesulfobacteriota; Desulfovibrionia; Desulfovibrionales; Desulfovibrionaceae. The record is from RNAcentral.